CCUCCAGCCCCUCUCCGUGGACGUGCCAAGGGGCCGGGACGAGGCUCUCCGAGGGCGGCGCGCCGGCAGUGCCCCCGCCGCAGCCRGAGCCCGGUGAGUCCGGCGCGGUUUAACCUUAGCUCUGCCCCCGGUUUUGGUGCGGAGCCGGGCUGAGACCUGCCAAACUCAUUGCAGCAGUGGGACCCUAGUUUUAGCCCUGGGUCCCCAUGGGGCCAGCUCUGUCCCCUUGUCGCCUCCAUUCACCCCAAUUUGUGCUGCCCCGCCCCCAGAUGCUCCCCCCGCCCGGGCCAGCGCGGCACCCCGCGAGGUCCCGCUCGUGGCCCCCCCUCGCCGCUCCCGGACGAAGAGGCCCGCGGCCGGCCAGGCCGUCGGCAGCAACACGGACCUGUCGCGCUCGCUGAGCCCGUCGCCCUCCUGGAGCUGCGGCCCCUCGCACUCGGCACCCGCCAGCCUGGGCGAGCGGGGCUUCUUUGCCGUCACCCAGCCGGCGCUCGGUGGGUCCCGGGGGUGGGUGGGGGGACACGGGGGGGCCGUGCCGCGCCGGGUGCUGACCCCUGCCCGCCUCCGCAGGGCUCUCGCGGGGCCCCAGCCCCGUGGUGCUGGGCUCGCAGGACGCGCUGCCCGUGGCCACGGCUUUCACCGAGUACAUCCACGCCUACUUCAAGGGCCGCGACUCCGACAGCUGCCUGGUGAAGGUCACGGGGGAGCUCACCAUGUCCUUCCCCGCCGGCAUCGUCCGCGUCUUCAGCGGCAGCCUGGCCCCGCCGGUGCUGAGCUUCCGCCUGGUCAACGCGGGCGCCAUCGAGCAGUUCCUGCCCAACGCCGAGCUGCUCUACAGGUGCGGGACGCGGGCGAGCGUGGCGGGGGCGCGGCGGGGCACCAGGCAUCCUCGAAGCCGGCGGCUGGGAGCUGGGAAGGGGAUGCACGGGGUGCCGGGCAUCCUUGGAGCUGGGAACAGAAUGCACGGGGUGCUGGGCAUCCUUGGAGCUGGGAACGGGAUGCAUGGGGUGCUGGGCAUCCUUGGAGCUGGGAGCGGGGUGCACGGGGUGCCGGGCAUCCUCGGAGCUGGGAGCAGGGUGCACGGGGUGCUGGGCAUCCUCAGAGGCAGCGGCCAGGAUCUGGGAACUGGGAAUGGGGUGCCCAGGUUGCCCAGGUAUCCUUGGAGGCAGCAGCAAGGAGCUGGGAAUGGGGUGCACAGGCAUCCUCGGAGCCAGCCAAGGCAGCAGGAGCGGGGUGCACGGGAGCAGAUGAAGGUGGUGGUGGUGGGGAGCUGGGAUGGGGUUCUUGGGGUGCACGGGAGCAGAUGAAGGUGGUGGUGGGGAGCUGGGG
RNAcentral lists this long non-coding RNA (1329 nucleotides) under Dromaius novaehollandiae (emu). RNAcentral describes it as "lncRNA (ENSDNVG00000006384.1)". Lineage: Eukaryota; Metazoa; Chordata; Aves; Casuariiformes; Dromaiidae. The record is from RNAcentral.